Molecule: small RNA, 396 nt
Filed under: Pan troglodytes (chimpanzee)
Lineage: Eukaryota; Metazoa; Chordata; Mammalia; Primates; Hominidae
Description: retained intron
Source: RNAcentral
AGACUACCGGCGGCGACGACCACGGGAGCAUGGCGGACACCGACCUGUUCAUGGAAUGUGAGGAGGAGGAGUUGGAGCCAUGGCAGAAAAUCAGUGAUGUCAUUGAGGACUCUGUAGUUGAAGAUUAUAAUUCAGUGGAUAAAACUACCACAGUUUCUGUGAGCCAGCAGCCAGUCUCGGCUCCAGUGCCCAUCGCUGCCCAUGCUUCUGUUGCUGGGCACCUCUCUACAUCCACCACCGUUAGUAGCAGCGGGGCACAGAACAGCGACAGUACAAAGAAGACUCUUGUCACACUAAUUGCCAACAACAAUGGUAAGUGGGAUUAUUGGGAAAUAAUAAUCCUGGGCUAGAGGGGUGAAAGAAUAAAAAAGGUCUCAGGGACAGCCAUACUGUUUA